UGUGUGUGUGUGUGUGUGUGUGUGUGUGUCUGGUGUGUGUCUGGUGUGUGUCUGGUGUGUGUGUGUGUGUGUGUUCUUCUGUUGGAGGUGUUCUAGAAACAGCAGCUCGGACUGUCAGAGCGGUCUGAUUGGUGAGGGGGGGGGGGGGGAAAACUUAGCUGUUAUUGGCAGAGAGAUUUCAAACCUCUCUUAUUGGUCUAUUAACCUAAUUAUGAUGUCACAAGGCAGGCCAAAAAAAACUCCGCCCCCAACCAAAAAACAGGAUUGAAAAUUUCAGAGGGGUCUUUUCAAAUAACUCUUCCCACUAAAAUGACAUUAUCAAUUUCACAGUAUUAUUCCAACCUCAUAGCGUGGAAAUAUAUCAAUCACAGGAACGUUUUUUCACUGCCCUGGGCCUUUAAAAGAAGUUUAAUAAAAAAGUGACGAAUGUAAUAUUGUGUGGUAAAAAAAAAAAAUGUUCUGUUGAAUUCUGUGUAAUUAUGAAUUUUGAUUUAAAAGAGAUGUUUUGAUUUGUAAAAUUCAUUUGAUCUGAAUUGAGAUGGAGAAAUAAAAAAAUAAAACGUUGAUUACCCCUAAAAAAAAAUACUGAAAGGUUGAAUAAAAUGACAGAUAAAACUCGGUUCUGUUAUACUGCAGGUCUUUAUGUUCAGAUAAAAGGGGAGGUUUCCUUUAUGUUCAGAUAAAAGGGGAGGUUUCCUUUAUGUCCAGAUAAAAGGGGAGGUUUCCUUUAUGUCCAGAUAAAAGGGGAGGUUUCCUUUAUGUUCAGAUAAAAGGGGAGGUUUCCUUUAUGUCCAGAUAAAAGGGGAGGUUUCCUUUAUGUCCAGAUAAAAGGGGAGGUUUCCUUUAUGUCCAGAUAAAGGGGAGGUUUCCUUUAUGUUCAGAUAAAAGGGGAGGUUUCCUUUAUGUCCAGAUAAAGGGGAGGUUUCCUUUAUGUCCAGAUAAAAGGGGAGGUUUCCUUUAUGUUCAGAUAAAAGGGGAGGUUUCCUUUAUGUUCAGAUAAAAGGGGAGGUUUCCUUUAUGUUCAGAUAAAAGGGGAGGUUUCCUUUAUGUUCAGAUAAAAGGGGAGGUUUUCCUUUAUGUUCAGAUAAAAGGGGAGGUUUCAGUAUGCAGAUCAGGGACGAUAUACAGGACCAGUCAAAAUGUUGGACAACACCAACUCAAUCCAGGGUUUUUAUUUUAAUUGUAUUUUUCUACAUUGUAGAAUAAUAGUGACGACAUCAAAACUAUGAAAACAACCCCUAUUAAUAUAGAAUGUUCUCUGGGUUUAAUAGACAUAUUAAAAGAUUAGUCAUAUAACUUUUUUUAAAAUUAUUAUAAUUAUUAUUCCCUUUAAUGUGGCAUGAAACAGAACCAGUCCUGUUUUCAGCUGAUUGUCUAACAAUCCCUUCCCGAAAGGUUUGCUCCUGUCGGAUAGACGAACCAUGUUUGUCCACCUGCCCAUUUCAUGAAACGGAAAAGAGAUCUGUCACACAAAACUAAAAAACUAAAAAAGUGUGAUGUCAUUCAGUGAUUGUCAUUCGUAACCAUUCGGCUUGUAGCCUGAAUUGAUGCGUCCACUGCUGUAAACGCGCGUCGCGGUCCGUCUCCGUCCGUCUCCGUAGAAACGCAGUCUGGAGGGAAUUUACUGGCCGUUUUAAAUGUUUCAUUCGCUAAUUUUCGUGCAGAUGAGCCGCGGUAAUGUUAAUCCAGAGGUUCCUACCAGCUGUUAUCUCUCUCUCUCUCUGAAUGUCUGGCUGCUGUCACAUCACCUCGGUCAAAUAAAGCUGGACAUUUUGGAUGACUGGUCUCUGUGGUGUUACAUCUAUAAAGGUCCCCCUUCUGUUGUGUUACGUCUAUAAAGGUUCCCCUUCUGUUGUGUUACGUCUAUAAAGGUUCCCCUUCUGUUGUGUUACGUCUAUAAAGGUCCCCCUUCUGUUGUGUCACGUCUAUAAAGGUUCCCCUUCUGUUGUGUUACGUCUAUAAAUGUCCCCCUUCUGUUGUGUUACGUCCAUAAAGGUUCC
This 2000-nucleotide long non-coding RNA is filed under the name Salmo salar (Atlantic salmon). Its description in RNAcentral is "lncRNA (ENSSSAG00000083496.1)". Lineage: Eukaryota; Metazoa; Chordata; Actinopteri; Salmoniformes; Salmonidae. The record is from RNAcentral.